AAAACUCUUGCCUUUUUCAUAGUAUUAGGAAAAGAAUUUCUAAUUUACCUAGAGCAACAUUUCAAAUGUAUUUAAAUACAUAUAAUUUUACAAAAGAAAAAUAUAUAUUAAAAGAAAUCCUAUUUUGUAACAUAUAGAUUUUAUUUUAUAUGGGUUAUACAGACUGCAGAGGCAGAUAUGAAACAUAAGCCAGAGUUAUUUCUUUACUUUUUUCUAUCUUUCUUCUCAUGGAGGCACAAUAAAACACUUUAGCAAGAUAGUUUUAACAUAGAACCCACAAAAUUCUUUUAAAAUGUAAUAACUUACUUUAGAAUACAUUGUGGCUUAUCAUAUCCCUAAAGCUAGUAUUUCAAAGCAAACACACACAAAAAUGAAACUUCUAAAAACAAUUGAACAGAUCAACAAUUAAGAUUCUCUUCCUGUUUAGAUGUUGCACUAGUUGACCUCGCAGACCCUGUCUAGAAGCCAGGCAAGCCCAGCUUGGACCCAGAUCCAGGCAAGCUCGUCCACUCUGCUUCCCGGCGGCCUGCUUUCAACCAAAGGUUGAUAUUAGUUCUUGAAGUGUCUUUUCAAACCAUAUUCUUUUAUUAGAUCAUCUGGAUUAAUUAGGAAAAAGGGUGAAAAUAAAACCAAAUCAGCCCUAGCAAAGAGGGGUACAGCACACUCCUUAAGUGUGAUAAGCACAGAAUAUUAAACCCAGUCAUGGGAGUCGAGACCUCUGUAUGACAAGAAUGGCUUCCUCCCAGAUGCCAUUUUGCUACUGUCUGGGGAAAGGGUCGUUUGCAUCCCAGAUGCUCUCUUCUUCAAAUUCCUUCUCCAUCCCACACUUUAAAGUCUCUCCUGCUAGACUCCCUGCCCCCAGACCCCUAGUAAUGAAUUACUAUCCCAUGUGGCUCUUUUCCUUUCCUGAAAUGAGUUCCUCAUGCAAGCAAUUUCAAGGUAGCCUAAGAACUUCUUUUAUCUGCCUCCCAUCAAGACCCACAGUGACUAGAAUGUGCAGAGAUCGCUAAAAUUCAAAUCAAGAGUUUGAAAAUACGUUUCUUUCCCUGUAAACUGGAUGGAGAAUGAUCAACAGCUCCCAUGAUAACUUUAAGUCACAGAUGAACAGAUCUAAGUGCUGGUAGAACUAUGGACUUUUACAUGCAAAAGGCAAGUACCAGUCUGGAAGCAUUCUCCCACUCCAUAUGGAUGGGCAUUUUGGUACUCAGAAAGAUACAGGAACAGAAGAAAGAAGGCCCUGUCCCUAACUACCACAAAUCUUUACAACUUAGCCCAGACCUUAUUUGACUAGACAUACUGAUCCUCAGUAUGACUGUAGCUUUGGGCCCUUGCUGUCUAGACAGCCAAAAAGAAAACAACCUGUACACCAGAGUGUCAUGAAGUAGGUCAGCACUCCCUAAUGGACAGGCAUAACUUUCCUUUCUAGAACCUGGCUGCUGAGAGUAAAUAUGCAGCUGCCCAUCCAUCUUGUGCCUCAGGCCCACAGAUCUCACUUCCCGGGCAGAGACUCACUUAUCAAACCGAGUGUCCCGCUUAGAGAAGGCAGAAGGGCCUACUGUCUGAUAGAUGGAAAGCUUAGCCCUUGGGGGACAGACUUAGUAGCUCAAGCUGGCUUCUAGUUUGAUGAGAUGACAGAAUUUAAAAAGUUGUGUCCAUGCACUUUUUGCUAGUGAAUUGGAUCUCCAAUCCCCUUCUUCUCCAGAUUCUUCCUCAAAAUUUCUAGGAGCCUUGCUCGGGCAUGCAAAUCUUCUCAUCCUGUAUCCUAGAAAAGGAGGUACAUGCAUGCCCAGUACUUUAAUAGAUCCUCUACAGCAGCUCUGCCAUCCACUCAGGAGAGUGCUAAGGAAAAUGGGAUGAAAGAGUAAUAAUGGAGUAAUAAUGGAGGGAGACUAUAUUGAACGUUGGUCCAAAUCCCCAGUGCCAAUGGUCUCUAUCUGUGAUUUUUUUUUCUUUUUAAACAUUGGUUUCAGUUUUAAUCAGAAUUGAUAUGCUAAUUUUUAUUUAUAUAGCAAUAUUUCAUUUAUUAUUUAAAAUACUUGAAAAAAGUGCAGUAUGUGUUUAUCUAAGACUUCUAAGUGGUAUAGACUUCAUGUUCUGUCACAGGAUUUGAAGAAAGAAAAUCGUGUGUGUGUGUGUGUGUGUGUGUGUGUGUGUGUGUGUGUGUGUGAGUGUUGCCGUUAGUACAUUGUUAGUACUGUCUUGUCACCUCAGAUUGAGGUUGUGCACUUUAUAUUGAAUUGUGUGGUGUUGCAAAACAACAUGUGUUGCUGUAAAAACUUGCACAAUGUAUUACCAGUGUGUCUUCUUCUAUGUGGUAGUUGUAUUGAACUUUGAACUUUGAAAUUAUGAGAACUACAUUUGCAUCCAUUCCUGUCCUUGCCUCUCUUCUACCCUCACCCUUUCACCCAGUCCCAAGCUGUGUGCCCUCUCCAUUGGCUCUUAGAGAAAACAUAACCUCAACUAAGUCCCACCCUAAGAAAUCUCUUUGACAACUGUGUGAUGGCACACAAAAUGCUUCAUCUCUGAGGCCAGAGAAACCAAUUAUGGAGCGUCACAGGCUGCUGACAGUGCAGGUAUUGACUCUACAGGGUCUUGGAGAAGGUGCUGCUCCUCAGAACAUGGACAAAGGAUGCACAGGUGUAAAUAUAGUAACAGGACAAAGAAGCAAAAACAUCAAACCAGGUAUCAUCUUGCACGUGCUUUUCUGUUUUCAAGUGCUAAAUGCAAACACUGUGUAUUAAUUAGUUGUGUAUGCAAAGAUCUUGUUGCCAAAUGGUGUUUCUGAAUAAUGUCAACAUUUCCCCAGCACCACUACAUUAACUAAAGACAGAAAAAAUAAAAUAAAAACAAAUGUGGCAACCUAUGCUACCAAAUAUAAACUUGUGUAUGAUCAAAGUAUUUUACCUGUGUUUUCUCUCUAAACCCAAAUAAAUGUGUAAAUGU
This 2943-nucleotide long non-coding RNA is filed under the name Mus musculus (house mouse). RNAcentral describes it as "long non-coding RNA chr2:22690927-22693870". Lineage: Eukaryota; Metazoa; Chordata; Mammalia; Rodentia; Muridae. The record is from RNAcentral.